RNAcentral lists this ribosomal RNA (468 nucleotides) under uncultured bacterium. Its description in RNAcentral is "partial 16S ribosomal RNA". It matches the Rfam family "Bacterial small subunit ribosomal RNA", at positions 28 to 507 of the family's 1533-position model. The record is from RNAcentral.
GACGAACGCUGGCGGCGUGCUUAACACAUGCAAGUCGAACGGAAAGGCCCUGCUCUUGUGGGGUGCUCGAGUGGCGAACGGGUGAGUAACACGUGAGUAACCUGCCCUUGACUUUGGGAUAACUUCAGGAAACUGGGGCUAAUACCGGAUAGGAGCUCCUGCUGCAUGGUGGGGGUUGGAAAGUUUCGGCGGUUGGGGAUGGACUCGCGGCUUAUCAGCUUGUUGGUGGGGUAGUGGCUUACCAAGGCUUUGACGGGUAGCCGGCCUGGGAGGGUGACCGGCCACAUUGGUACUGAGAUACGGCCCAGACUCCUACGGGAGGCAGCAGUGGGGAAUAUUGCACAAUGGGCGGAAGCCUGAUGCAGCAACGCCGCGUGCGGGAUGACGGCCUUCGGGCUGUAAACCGCUUUCGCCUGUGACGAAGCGUGAGUGACGGUAAUGGGUAAAGAAGCACCGGCUAACUACGUG